Molecule: ribosomal RNA, 497 nt
Filed under: uncultured bacterium
Lineage: Bacteria
Description: partial 16S ribosomal RNA
Rfam family: Bacterial small subunit ribosomal RNA
Source: RNAcentral
GAUGAACGCUGGCGGCGUGCCUAAUACAUGCAAGUCGAGCGAACAGAUGAGGAGCUUGCUCCUCUGACGUUAGCGGCGGACGGGUGAGUAACACGUGGAUAACCUACCUAUAAGACUGGGAUAACUUCGGGAAACCGGAGCUAAUACCGGAUAAUAUAUUGAACCGCAUGGUUCAAUAGUGAAAGACGGUUUUGCUGUCACUUAUAGAUGGAUCCGCGCCGCAUUAGCUAGUUGGUAAGGUAACGGCUUACCAAGGCAACGAUGCGUAGCCGACCUGAGAGGGUGAUCGGCCACACUGGAACUGAGACACGGUCCAGACUCCUACGGGAGGCAGCAGUAGGGAAUCUUCCGCAAUGGGCGCAAGCCUGACGGAGCAACGCCGCGUGAGUGAUGAAGGUCUUCGGAUCGUAAAACUCUGUUAUUAGGGAAGAACAAAUGUGUAAGUAACUAUGCACGUCUUGACGGUACCUAAUCAGAAAGCCACGGCUAACUACGUG